RNAcentral lists this long non-coding RNA (192 nucleotides) under Monodelphis domestica (gray short-tailed opossum). RNAcentral's name for it is "lncRNA (ENSMODG00000046891.1)". The record is from RNAcentral. Lineage: Eukaryota; Metazoa; Chordata; Mammalia; Didelphimorphia; Didelphidae.
UCUUCUUUCUCCAUGGUAACAGAACCUUUCAUAGUUAACACCAUCACCUCUAGAGCUCAAGUGUUUCUCCAAAUAUGUUAUUGCUGGCUGAGUGUUUGUGAAGCCUCUUCUAUUGGUCUCCCACCAGCCUGGAGAGAAAUGGAAACAGAUGAUUUGGAGAGGCUGGGACCUCCACCAAGAUGGGGAAACUGA